GAAGAAAACCCCAAAACAACAGUCAGUGACAUCACCAACAACCUCCACAGGGCAGGGUGAAGGUCUCACAAUCCACCGCUCGAAGAAGACUUCGAGAGCAGAAAUUUAGAGGCCGUACCACAAGAUUGAAACCACUCAUCAGCAGUAAGAAUCAGAAAGUCAGAUUGUAAUUCACAAAGAAAUACUGAGAUGAUCCACAAAAGUUCUGGAACAAAGAUGAACCUCUACCAAAGUGAUGGAAAGUCCAAAGUGUGGAGAAAGAAAGGAUCUGCUCAUGAUCCAGAACGUACAAGCUGAUCUGUGGAACAUGGUGGAGAUUUACAGAGAAACGCAUCCGAAUGAAUCAGGAGGAACUUCAUCAUGCAGCGAGACAACGAUCCA
Molecule: long non-coding RNA, 381 nt
Organism: Ictalurus punctatus (channel catfish)
Lineage: Eukaryota; Metazoa; Chordata; Actinopteri; Siluriformes; Ictaluridae
Source: Ensembl